GACGAACGCUGGCGGCGUGCUUAACACAUGCAAGUCGAACGAAGAGCGAUGGAAGCUUGCUUCUAUCAAUCUUAGUGGCGAACGGGUGAGUAACGCGUAAUCAACCUGCCCUUCAGAGGGGGACAACAGUUGGAAACGACUGCUAAUACCGCAUACGAUCUAAUCUCGGCAUCGAGGAUAGAUGAAAGGUGGCCUCUACAUGUAAGCUAUCACUGAAGGAGGGGAUUGCGUCUGAUUAGCUAGUUGGAGGGGUAACGGCCCACCAAGGCGAUGAUCAGUAGCCGGUCUGAGAGGAUGAACGGCCACAUUGGGACUGAGACACGGCUCAGACUCCUACGGGAGGCAGCAGUGGGGAAUCUUCCGCAAUGGACGAAAGUCUGACGGAGCAACGCCGCGUGAGCGAUGACGGCCUUCGGGUUGUAAAGCUCUGUUAAUCGGGACGAAAGGCCUUCUUGCGAAUAGGGAGAAGGAUUGACGGUACCGGAAUAGAAAGCCACGGCUAACUACGUG
RNAcentral lists this ribosomal RNA (510 nucleotides) under uncultured bacterium. RNAcentral's name for it is "partial 16S ribosomal RNA". It matches the Rfam family "Bacterial small subunit ribosomal RNA", at positions 28 to 507 of the family's 1533-position model. The record is from RNAcentral.